GACGAACGCUAGCGGCAUGCCUAACACAUGCAAGUCGAACGAUAAGCCCUCGGGUUAAGGCCGUCGCACGGGUGCGUAACGGGUAUACACCCUUCCUUUUAUCCUGGGUACCCCCCGGAGAAAUUUGGAUCAAUACACGAUGUUAUAAGAGCACGGCAUCGCCCACUUAUUAGAGCUACGUCGGUUAAAGAUGAGGAUGCGUUCUAUUAGCUAGUUGGAGAGGUGACGGCUUGGCAAGGAGACGAUAGAUAGGGGUUCGGGGAGGGAUGUCCCCCACACUGGUACUGGGAUACGGACCAGGGGACUACGGGAGGCAGCAGUGAGGAAUAUUGGACAGUGGUCGGAAGACUGAUCCAGCCAUGCAGCGUGCAGGAUGACGGCGUUAUGGGUUGUAAACUGCUUUUGUAAGGGUAGAAUAAGGUGUACGGGUACGUUAAUGACGGUACCGGGAGAAUAAGCAUCGGCUAACUCCGUG
Molecule: ribosomal RNA, 475 nt
Filed under: uncultured bacterium
Lineage: Bacteria
Description: partial 16S ribosomal RNA
Rfam family: Bacterial small subunit ribosomal RNA
Source: RNAcentral